GACGAACGCUGGCGGCGCGCCUAACACAUGCAAGUCGAACGGAGCUGAGAGAAGCUUGCUUUUCUUAGCUUAGUGGCGAACGGGUGAGUAACGCGUGAGUAACCUGCCCUGGAGUGGGGGACAACAGUUGGAAACGACUGCUAAUACCGCAUAAGCCCACGAUCCGGCAUCGGAUUGAGGGAAAAGGAUUUAUUCGCUUCAGGAUGGACUCGCGUCCAAUUAGCUAGUUGGUGAGGUAACGGCCCACCAAGGCGACGAUUGGUAGCCGGACUGGGAGGUUGAACGGCCACAUUGGGACUGAGACACGGCCCAGACUCCUACGGGAAGCAGCAGUGGGGGAUAUUGCACAAUGGGGGAAACCCUGAUGCAGCGACGCCGCGUGGAGGAAGAAGGUUUUCGGAUUGUAAACUCCUGUCGUGAGGGACGAUAAUGACGGUACCUAACAAGAAAGCACCGGCUAACUACGUG
Molecule: ribosomal RNA, 468 nt
Filed under: uncultured bacterium
Lineage: Bacteria
Description: partial 16S ribosomal RNA
Rfam family: Bacterial small subunit ribosomal RNA
Source: RNAcentral